AGUAUUUGUGAGCUGUUGAACUGCUGACCAAGGAUUUAAAGAUAGGCCCAAAAAUAAGCCCUAUCCUGCAACCCAUAACUCAUUGUUCAGAAAGAGUUUGAUACAUACAAGAAGGACUGUG
This is a small nucleolar RNA of Microtus ochrogaster (prairie vole), 121 nucleotides long. Lineage: Eukaryota; Metazoa; Chordata; Mammalia; Rodentia; Cricetidae. The record is from Ensembl.